Molecule: long non-coding RNA, 2009 nt
Organism: Mauremys mutica (yellowpond turtle)
Lineage: Eukaryota; Metazoa; Chordata; Testudines; Geoemydidae
Exons: 3
Source: RefSeq, a predicted model, not a curated record
UGAAGCUACAGCUGCUGACCUGCUAAUCACUCUCCUGCAUUUUGCUCUUGUGGGAUGGAGGCGACAAAGGAGGAGGUGGAGAUGGAAGUGAUCUGAGCUUCCCUAAGGGACCUCACUGUGUGAAAAGCUUUGCUGGCAAAUUCUCAUCCCUCCUGUCUUUCAGACUCACAACCUAAGGGCUGGUGGGCCCAAGUGAUCCCUACUGCCAAGGACACAAGAAACAGGGACAACAAACACCAAGCCUGUCUGAAUUUCAUAUUUAAAACUCUCCAGAUGAAAUAUUGCUGGUGGUUUUAUCUCAGCCCCCCGGGUGGGGACAUAGCUCCAGAUGCAGGAUGCAUGAGUGCUGGGAGGAAAGUGACUAAGAUCAGCUGGUCUGCAUUGCUAGAAAAGAGUGUCAGUUUCCCCAUUGAUAUUUUGCCAGUUCCAAGCCUUAAGAACAGGGACAUUUCAGCUUUUGGAGGGCUGGAAAUUUGGAGCUAGAUCUACGUUUUGUGGCUUGUGCCCAUUUCUACUUGAAGUUAAAUGACCACUGGCAUAGGCAAUUCUACUACAAAGAAACAGAGAAAUUGCAUUCCUGGAUCAGACCUGGUCCAUCUAGCCCAGUGUCAUACCCCUAACAGUGCCAGCACCAGCUGUUCCAGAGAUGCCAGCUGAUCAAUGCCCAAGCUGAACCUCUCACUAGGCUAGAUUUUGACAGAGACUGUGCCACCAAGCAGGGGCUUGAGUGGGAGUCAGACUCCUCAAUGCCCCCCACAACGUACGGAUUUGAACAGACACAGAGUCACAUCUGAUCAUCAACCCCUAAGGAACCUCUUACAAACUGAAUUGCUUCUGACGAGCUGCUUGGAGCUGGAAAAGAAACUAACAUCCACAUAAGGGAGUAAACGCUUUUAUGGGAAAGCUUUAUCUUUAAGUGUAAAGACUUUGACGCUGCCCCUUUAAAGACAAAAUACAAAUACAGCAGAGCUUCCUGCAAUCAACGUGCAAAGCAGAGGUCUGGAGCAUGGCUCAUUGCAGCCAAGCUCCCAGGAAGAACAUUCACAACCAUGUUAUCCACUCUGUUCAUGCUGCCUGUGUGUUAUAUUCCUUUCCCCCUAGCUUGUGUCUGUCUUGUUUGUUUUAGAUGGUCCACUCUUCAGGGCAAGGGCAACGUGAGACUCUCUGUUUGUACAGGAUCUAGCACAAUGGGGCCCCACUCUUGGGUCUUAACUAUUACCAUAAUAUACCUGUUUAAUAAUAAUGUUUUCCUCUCAAUUCCAUCCCUCUUCCUAAAGAACCUCUCACUGCUCAGUUCAGCCCCUAGCCCUACCCAGCACCAUGCCUCCUACAAUGAGAUGGAGGACUUAAUUCCCGACAGGCAGUCUUGCAAAUCCUUACAUUCAGGGCAAUCAGGGCUGCUUCCUCUAGCCAGAGGCAUGGCUAACCCCCUCCCAGCCAACCAUUGGACAGGAUCUGUCUCUAUAACCCCUCCCAGUACUAGUGGUCCUCUAACUCCAUCCCUCCCUUUAGAAUGUCUUCAAGUUCACCUGAGUAACUUCGAUACAAUCAGCAAAAUUAAAGAGCAGCUGAAUUAGAAGAGGUGGGGAAUUGGGUGUUUGGGGAGUUAUUACUCCCUGGACUGGGGAAAGUGCAGAAUUUCACCCAAUGGAGAAAUCAGACUCUGAAACUGAUUGGUUUCGGGUCUAGCAUUGGUUUAUGGACAUAGGCAUCCAUCUAAACCUAACCUAAGAACACGUGCAGUGUGGAUACUGCAGUAUGUACCACAGACCAGCAGCCACGCACAGCAGCUGUCAAAGGGAAUGUUGGGGGGUAGAUUUUAAAUGCUGAUUUCUGGCUGAGUGACAGGUCUCUGAGCUGGAAGUGAAGUGAGGCUCCUGCCUUUGCAGCCCUGGAGUAGGAUAAGAAAGGAACGUCACUGGCACCAACAUGUCUGCUGUAGACAGGAGAUACUCCCAAAGGGCAUCACUCACAGCACCCAAGAGGGAAUAAACUGCUUCUGCUGCUAU